CGGGUGCGAGUAAAGUGGCGGACGGGUGAGUAACGCGCGGGAAUCUGCCUAGUAGUGGGGGACAACUCGAGGAAACUCGAGCUAAUACCGCAUACGCCCUACGGGGGAAAGGCUUCGGCCGCUAUUAGAUGAGCCCGCGUAAGAUUAGCUUGUUGGUGGGGUAAUGGCCUACCAAGGCGACGAUCUUUAGCUGGUCUGAGAGGACGAUCAGCCACACUGGGACUGAGACACGGCCCAG
RNAcentral lists this ribosomal RNA (238 nucleotides) under uncultured bacterium. RNAcentral describes it as "partial 16S ribosomal RNA". It matches the Rfam family "Bacterial small subunit ribosomal RNA", at positions 81 to 334 of the family's 1533-position model. The record is from RNAcentral.